Long non-coding RNA from Salvia splendens (bonfire salvia), 421 nucleotides. RefSeq lists it as uncharacterized. The record is from RefSeq and is a predicted model, not a curated record. Lineage: Eukaryota; Viridiplantae; Streptophyta; Magnoliopsida; Lamiales; Lamiaceae. The transcript has 2 exons.
CUCAUUUAACAUUUAACAUCAAAUAUGGGUGGAAAAGUAAUUUCAUUUCUAAACAUUUUGGUCGUAUUUGUUCUCCUAAUGUCCCUCCAAGUAGCUUUUGCUAGAGAACUUGCGGAGACUACAAAUAUCAAAGUUAAACCGAUCAGGGCCCCCCCUUCCAAAACUCGAAAAUGUGAUUACAAGAAUUUGUGUAGGCCACCUUCCGCCCAGACCAAACCUUGAGAAUCCAAGCCCGAACACCCAAUGUUUUAAGAGUACUUUGAAUAUACAUUAUUGAAUAAUUUCAAAUAAACUAUUCCAAACAGUACUAUGGUGUUUAUGAUUAUGUUGAUAUAUAUCAUUUUAAUUUUGUUUUGAGUUAAAGCAAUAUUGUACUCCUUGUUUAAGGUUUUAUGAGUUAUAUGAGUAUGUUUUAGGUUUA